AUUGAACGCUGGCGGCAGGCCUAACACAUGCAAGUCGAGCGGAUGAAGGGAGCUUGCUCCUGGAUUCAGCGGCGGACGGGUGCGUAAUGCCUAGGACUCUGCCUGUGAGUGGGGGAUGACGUCCGGAAACGGGCGCUAAUACCGCAUACGUCCUGCGGGAGAAAGUGGGGGAUCUUCGGACCUCACGCUCUCAGAUGAGCCUAGGUGGGAUUAGCUAGUUGGUGGGGUAAAGGCCUACCAAGGCGACGAUCCGUAACUGGUCUGAGAGGAUGAUCAGUCACACUGGAACUGAGACACGGUCCAGACUCCUACGGGAGGCAGCAGUGGGGAAUAUUGGACAAUGGGCGAAAGCCUGAUGCAGCCAUGCCGCGUGUGUGAAGAAGGUCUUCGGAUUGUAAAGCACUUUAAGUGGGGAGGAAGGGCAGUAAGUUAAUACCUUGCUGUAUUGACGUUACCAACAGAAUAAGCACCGGCUAACUUCGUG
Molecule: ribosomal RNA, 484 nt
Filed under: uncultured bacterium
Lineage: Bacteria
Description: partial 16S ribosomal RNA
Rfam family: Bacterial small subunit ribosomal RNA
Source: RNAcentral